GACGAACGCUGGCGGCGGGCUUAACACAUGCAAGUCGAACGGAAAGGCCCUGCUUUCGUGGGGUGCCCGCGGGGCGAAGGGGUGAGUAACACGUGAGUAACCUGCCCUGGACGUUGGGAUAACUGCAGGAAACUGGGGCUAAUACCGGAUAGGAGCGCCUGCUGCAUGGUGGGGGUUGGAAAGUUUCGGCGGUGGGGGAUGGACGGGCGGCUUAUCAGCUUGUGGGUGGGGGAGUGGCCUACGGAUGCUUCGGCGGAUAGCCGGCCUGAGAGGGUGACCGGCCACAUUGCGACUGAGAUACGGCCCAGAGUCCAACGGGAGGCAGCGGUGGGGAAUAUUGCACAGUGGGGGGAAGCCUGAUGAGGCAACGCCGCGUGCGGGAUGACGGCCUUCUGGUUGUAAACCGCUUUCGCCUGUGACGAAGCGUGAGUGACGUUAAUGGCUAAAGAAGCACCGGCUAACUACGUG
RNAcentral lists this ribosomal RNA (468 nucleotides) under uncultured bacterium. RNAcentral describes it as "partial 16S ribosomal RNA". It matches the Rfam family "Bacterial small subunit ribosomal RNA", at positions 28 to 507 of the family's 1533-position model. The record is from RNAcentral.